RNAcentral lists this long non-coding RNA (3672 nucleotides) under Homo sapiens (human). RNAcentral's name for it is "CAVIN2 and TMEFF2 antisense RNA 1, transcript variant 2 (CAVIN2-AS1)". The record is from RNAcentral. Lineage: Eukaryota; Metazoa; Chordata; Mammalia; Primates; Hominidae.
CUCUUUUUGCCUGCUACCAUGCAUGUAAGAGGUGACUUGCUCCUCCUUGCCUUCUGCCAUGAUUGUGAGGCUUCCCCAGCCAUGUGGGACUGUAAGUCCAUUAAACCUCUUUCUUUUGUAAAUUGCCCAGUCUUGGGUAUGUCUUUAUCAGCAGUGUGAAAACAGACUAAUACAAGUGCAUUACUUCUAUGAGUAAGUAAGGAGGAAGCAGAUUGCCCCAACAAGAUGCCUCUUUUGUUCAAACCAGAGCUUGUUUAUCACAGAGAAAGAUGGCAAUAAUGUCCUGAGAAAUACGAAUGACCAAGGAACGCUAUCAUACUGUUUUGUGUGUGUGUGUGUGUGUGUGUGUGUGACUUCCCUGGAUGUGUGGAAGUUGACUUCCCUGGAUUAGCCAACCAUUUAUACUGAAAAUUAUGACACUGGUGGAAAAAGACAGGGCAGACUGUAUUUUCUUUUCCUUUCAGUCAUUUCUUAUCAGCAAGCAAAGGUAGGCAGAGUUGGUAGAAUGCGUGAGCAUCAUGAUGUGCAAUAAAAACAGUUAAAUUCGUUUUGUGUAAGUUUCCACUAUUCUUGUAAGAAUGAAAUACACAUGAAUGUAUAAGCUAUGAGAUACAAAUUGUGUAAUUUUGGUGAUUCUAUAUAAAAAUUAGAUGCUCUUAUAUUUGCAUCUAAACCUGGCAUAGUACAAUAUAAAAAUGAAUGGUAAAAUUAUGCUAAUUAUUUAAAAUUUUAACCUUUCUCUACUCAGAAUGACAAAGCAAGUAAAAAUCACCAUAGGAAGUCAAGAAAAAGACACCAACAGAAGAAAGAAAAAACCCUUUAAGGGAACUUCUUCCUGCUUUUUGAACUAGGGACUUCACAUAUUUCUUUUGCAUUGGGCCCCACAAAUAACAGGCCACAAUGAUGCUAUGUUGCUUCCAAGACUAGAUUAUAAAAAUAAUACUCUGGCAUCCACCUCUUCUCCCCCUCCCCCCACGUCCAUUCUCUACCUACCAUCUCUUUCUUAGGGGUUGGGGGAAGGGAGGGAAUUUCAGCCAUUUUGUCAAGACACCUUGGCCAACAACCACCAAGAGCCUGAGUAUUGCCAGCAGACGCAUGAGUGAGCUUGCAAGUGGAUCUUCCCCCUGCUGAGCCUUGAGAGAACUGCAGCCCUGGCUGACAUCUUGAUUGCAGUUGUAGGAGGAACCCUAAGUCAGAAGCACAGCUAAGCCACACCCAGAUUCCCAACCCACAUAAACUCUGAGGCAUUGUGGCUCUGGAGACCUGGAAGCACUGCUAACUGUUCUCUCGAUUUUCUGACGCUCGGCCACAUCAACCUGUCAUACUAGUUGUGAGGAGAAGUCAAGGACAGUGACACAGCCAGCCAGUCUGAGGCAUUUUCCAUCAUCCUGAAGGAGUUGCCCUAUCCUGCUUUUCACUGGAGGGGGCAUGGAUGGGUAGGUAAACACACCUGCCGUGAAGUUUCCAGUUCUAUCCUCCUGCAAGGCCUUCGGGGAUAAGUGUGUUAGAAGAUUGGUCAGUAUCAUUUGCCAACUUGAUGUCUCUUCCUUUUUUAAUGAUCCUUAGUUUCCCCACUGUUUCCUGUCACAGGAUUCAAUUUCACUCCACAUUCAUCCUUUCUUACUGGGCACUGAUGUUGAGAGCAUCAGGCAGGGUAUAAUGUUAUGUUGCAGUAACAAACACCCUCAAUAUCUCAGUGGCUUAAAAUGACAACGAUCUUUUUUUUGUUUGUUUGUUUAUGCUCUAUAUCACCCAGGGAUCCUGGAUGACAAAGCAGUCACCUACUUGAACACUGCUAAUUAUGAAGUCAGAAAGAGGAAAGUUUGCAGAGUUUUGUAUUGGCAAUCAAACAUUCAGCCACAGGUCACAGUCUAGAACCAGACACAUCAGUGUCCUCAACUGCAAAGUAGCCAGGAAGCAGCAUCCCAUAACACAGUCCUAUGUCCACUGUUUUGGAGGUAGGAAAUUGGAAAUAUUCAGUGAGUAGCACUGUGAGUAGGGCAGUAAUUUCAUUUUUUAAUUAAACAAAUGGAAGAUGGCAGCUCCUCAGUUUUUUCUUCUAUGGUUUAUUUCUGAUGUCUUAUCUUAAUUAAUAUAUCCUGAUAUCUAUUUCCCAUUACUUAGUCUGUCCUUUUUCCCAAUAUCCAGUUAUUUUCAGUAAAUAUUUUCUGUCAUUACACCCAGCAGUCUAACUUUUUGCGACUUCAGUGUCUAUUCUCAUUCCUCAGUCCCAAAUCCAUUUUCUUUAUUAGAUUUAUCUGAACUCCUGCAGCUCUUUCUGUCUGCAUCACACAACUUAACCUUUAAUUACUUGCCUACUGGGCAUUCUACUUGGUUCUGCCUUUUAUCAGCUGAAUCAGAACAUAACUUUCUCUCACCACCUCCCUCCCCUACUCCAAAUUGACUUUACCUCCUGAUCCCCUAUUUCCAAAGUGGUUCCAUUAUUCUUCUCAGUGCUCAGCCUUAACAUCUUCGUUUCUGUUUGACUUCUAAUCUCUGGCAUCUCAUAAUUGUGCAGUUACCAAACUCUCCCCCAUGAACUCGAUGUGCUCAUGUGGAUCAAAUGACACAGUAAAAGUGAAAGCACGUUGUAGACUCCAAAUACAAGAGGAUACUGCUCUCUAUUCCUUCAACUAUUUUUCAUUCCUUAUUUAUUUAUUCAUCAUUCAUUUAUUCAUGUAGUUACUCAAGACCUAAGUGUUUUCUUGGAACUGUGUUUGUUACUGAGGAAGCCACAAAUUAAAUAUAAGUCUGCUCUUCAAGAGGUUACAUUCCAGUUAAGGAGAUUGCAUAUCCAUAUUUCCAGAAGUACCAAUGUGAUUGAAGCAAGGGAAAUUGCUAUGGGAUAUCUGACCAACUGGAUAUUCUGCUGGAAGAGCAGAAUGCACUUCAAAGACUAGCCAAUAAAACUCUCAUGUAAGAUAUGUUUUUCUUUUUGUUUCUAUUUAACUAAUGAAUAGAACCUCAGUGAUUUAAGGAAAGGCAGGCCCAUGAUAUGGAAAGAGAAGGGGAUGAUGAUGAUAUUCUGGAAUGGUCGUGCAAGGCUUCAGGAGGAAGUGAGAGUGAUGAUUGAAUCAUAUAACUCCUGAAUAAAUAUCUGGAAUAAACAUCUCCAGAAUAAAACAUCUGGAGGAUUCUCAGUAUACUUAGAAUAAAAUUGAGCCUCCUCAUGAAGGCCUACUAGCACCUUCAUGAUCAAACCCCUUUUCAACUUUGACCUUCUUUCUUAUUUUAGGGGCUCCUGACACACUGACCUCUGUCAGUUCCUUCAGCACACCAGGCUAAUCCCCAGUCUUGCGCCUUUGGACCAGAGGUUUUCUUUGCUCAGAAUACUGUUUCAACAGAUCUUUGCAUAGCUGGCUCUCGCUAUUUGACUAAAAUGUCAAUCCUCAGAGAGGUACUCCUUAAAUAUCCAAUCUUAAGUAGCAUCCCUUUCUCCCAGGAUCCUGUUUUUCAGAACUCUGUUUUCUUUUUAAAACACUUGUUAUCUGAAAGGAUGUCGUCUGCUUGCUUGUUUGUUCAUUUCUUUAUUGUCUAUUCCAUCUCACCCCUUCUCAGGAUGUAAGCUGUUUAAAGGCAAGGACCUUAUCUGUGUUACAUGCUGUAUUCCCAGGGCUCAGACAGAGCAUGACCUAUCGUAUGUACUAAAUAAAUAUCUCCUCAUACUGUAAA